RNAcentral lists this ribosomal RNA (256 nucleotides) under uncultured archaeon. Its description in RNAcentral is "partial 16S ribosomal RNA". It matches the Rfam family "Archaeal small subunit ribosomal RNA", at positions 748 to 1004 of the family's 1478-position model. The record is from RNAcentral.
CAGCCGUAAACUAUGCGCGUUAGGUGUAUCGGUGACCACGAGUCACCGAGGUGCCGAAGGGAAACCGUGAAACGUGCCGCCUGGGAAGUACGGUCGCAAGGCUGAAACUUAAAGGAAUUGGCGGGGGAGCACCACAACAGGUGGAGCCUGCGGUUUAAUUGGACUCAACGCCGGGAAGCUCACCGGAUAGGACAGCAGAAUGAAGGCCAAGCUGAAGACUUUGCCGGAUUAGCUGAGAGGAGGUGCAUGGCGUAGU